AAGCGUUUGCAAUCAGACUUGCACGUUGCCGAUCAUCUGGUGUUCUCGCCAGUGCACUCGGUUUCGUUCAGGCCAGCAUCGGUUUGGGUGGUUGGAUAAAGGCCUUGGGAAUGUGGCUCCUCUCGGGGAGUGUUAUAGCCCUCGGUGCAAUGCAGCCUACCUGGACCGAGGACCGCGCUUCGGCUAGGAUGCUGGCGUAAUGAUUGUAAA
Molecule: ribosomal RNA, 210 nt
Filed under: Chalara alabamensis
Lineage: Eukaryota; Fungi; Ascomycota; Leotiomycetes; Helotiales
Description: partial large subunit ribosomal RNA
Source: RNAcentral